RNAcentral lists this transfer RNA (74 nucleotides) under Kiritimatiellia bacterium. RNAcentral describes it as "tRNA-Gln". It matches the Rfam family "tRNA". From Rfam's summary of the family: Transfer RNA (tRNA) molecules are approximately 80 nucleotides in length. Their secondary structure includes four short double-helical elements and three loops (D, anti-codon, and T loops). Lineage: Bacteria; Pseudomonadati; Kiritimatiellota; Kiritimatiellia. RNAcentral also lists the same sequence under 1 other name. The record is from RNAcentral.
UGUCCGGUGAUGUAAUGGCAGCAUAGAGGUUUUUGAUACCUUUCGAGGUGGUUCGAAUCCACCCCGGACAACCA